AUUUUAAUAAUCUUAAAAUGGAUAUAAUAAACUUAUCGAAAAAUGUUUGUAGUGGAGGAGUUAUUAACAAUUCGUAUGGAACGUGUAAAUUUAAUGUUUGCUUAUCUUUAUUCUCCUCUCUCUUUUGGAUAUAUAAAUAAUAUAAUUAUAUAACUGUAAUUGUAUUUGAAUAAUAAUAAAAAAGAUUAUAUAAACUCACAUCUUCAAUAUUAAAAGUAUUAACGCAUCAUGCGUCCGUCCAGAAGCUUAAUUGAAACAGAAAUUAAUAUUUAAUUGAUUUUAUUAUUCAUCUUUUAUCUAUCUAUACCAAAGAAAAGUGCUAUGUAUCGUAAUGCUAAUCAAUCAUCCGUAUUGUUAAGAUUUUUAUAAUCUGAUCGACGCUUAUACAAGAUCCGUGUGCAAUAAGUAUUGUUUUUGUUGUUAAUAUAUCAUUUAAAUGUUGUUUAAUUAUUUGAAAAUAUACGCACGUUGUUUUUUAUUAUUUUAGCACACAUGUUUCUCGGUAACUUAAUUAUUGAAUUUUAUACAUUUUGUGUCGAAUGUUAUGUAAUUGAUGUCAAUAGCUGUAUUGUUAUCUUCACAAUUUCUGUAGUCCAUUCCACGGAACGAGUUCCUAAAGGGAUAUGUUCUUGUGCGCUCAAUGGUUAGUACGCACGUCCUGUAUUGGUCAAAUUAUUUCUUAAACAAUUGUCUUACACGCCGACCAAUGAGGUGCAUGUAUUUUGUUCCCUAGCAGUUCGACUCGUGGAAUGAACUGUAGCUAAGUUUUAUUACGUUAAGGCAUGUUUAUAUUUUAUUUUUCAUUUGUUGUAUAUAUUUAUCGAAAUUGUACAAAAUAUAACUUAAAAUAUAAUAAUGAUAUAAGAAACAUUAAUACAGUAAUUGCUUUAACAAGUUUUUUUUUUAUGUCAGUAAUUCAACGAAUGAUGUAAACCUUUGGCAUUAAUACGGUUACUCAAGAAAUAUAUUCGCCAACUAACCAUUCGCCUGUCAUGUUUGGAAGCGGAUAUUUAUUUUAGUUUAAUUCCAAAAGUAAUCAUUCUUAUUCUAUAGAGUAUUAUAUUUUGUACUAUUUGGUAUAUUUUUAAUAGCAAGGAAGGUGAUACAAACCAUUUUGUAAGAUAAAUCGGUCUUUUGAUAAUCCCUUUCUUGUAUUAUUUAUUUUAUAAAUGUAUAACAUUUUAAUUGCAAUUUUUAAUCUGUAUUGAUAUUAUGUAUCGCAUGUUAAGUAUAUAUGAUUGAUACGAAGUAAUUUUAAAUAUUAUAUUUAAUAAUAUACAUAAUACUUGAAAUUCUGAAGCGUACGAAACUUUCCAAUUUCGUAACAUAUAAUUUCUUUAUCGAUAACAUAUAUUUAUUAUUUUGGAUGGAUCAAAAUAAUAAAUGCCAAACAUAAUUAAUUCCUUUUAACAGCGUAGUGCCAAAACUACACGAACUUCCUACAUCAUUUUGAAUAUAACUUUUAAAUAACAUUAUGUUUUUAAAUUUGUAAUGGAAACUUAAACAUCCUUACUGUUUCAACAUGAUAUUUAUAACGCCAACUAUUACAUAAUUUAUCUAAACUUCCACCUAAAAACCAUACUAUCUAUGUAGUAAACUCUAGUGAUGUAUUUUCAAUACUAGUACAUGUUAUAGUUCAAAUAUAUCACGUAGUUGAGUUCUGCCGAAUCAAUUUAAAUAAACUUUCCUAGUAAUUUUUAUAGGGUUUUUCUAAAUAGAAACGUUGAAUAGAUGUUCAUUACAUCCUUAGAUCGGAAUUUAAGUAAUAUUUCUGUGAAUAAUGUUGUUGUCAAUGAGAGUGCAUUUAUUUUGUUUGUAUCGGAUUUUAUAUGUAAGUUGCAUUUUUGUUUUACGCACAAGUAUUUAUAAGCGUUUGAAAGACUGUAAGUAGGCUAAGUCCUCGAGAGCUUGCUAAAAGGAAGUGAGAUUAAGAUAGGUAGGUACUAUUAUUUUUAUAUGUAAUUGUAUUUUUUACACCGCUUUUUAUAACGCCAAAUUGUCCAUUUGCAUCGUUGGCUUUGUUUAAAUGUUAUGUCCAUUGAUAUUAUUAAGUGAUAUUAUACAAAAUUAUUGUCAAUAAUAAAGUGCCGUAGAGAUCGUAAGA
This is a long non-coding RNA of Vanessa atalanta (red admiral), 2104 nucleotides long. RefSeq lists it as uncharacterized. The record is from RefSeq and is a predicted model, not a curated record. Lineage: Eukaryota; Metazoa; Arthropoda; Insecta; Lepidoptera; Nymphalidae. The transcript is spliced from 3 exons.